AAAAUUGGGAAGAGAUCAAAGACUGUAUUUGCAUUGCGGAUGCUCUAAAAAAACAACGGAAUUUUUUUUCCUCUCUCUUCUCUCAUUUCCAUCUAUCAGACCAAUUAAUAUCGGAUGAUCUUUCCGGUUUCAUCCGGAUUUUAAUACUUCCGACUUGUUCAUAUUCUAGUCGGAUUAAUAAUGAUUCCGCUUGACGGAUUUUGUUUUCUUCUGCUUUCAAAUCUCCUUUUGCUGAUUUAGAUCGAUUCUUCAAUUUUGUAAAGAAAGUUCGCUAAUCCUUAGUGGAGCGAAACCUCUUUUCAAUUUGAAUGAUUAUGAUGGGUUUUAUGAGAUUAUGCAAUUGGUUUUUUGAUUGCAGAUUUCUUUCCUCUUCUACAGAUUCAGGUCCGGUGAUGAAGGUAACAACUUCUUCUCCAAAAUUUAGUAUCAUCUUCUCUCGAUUGGGAGCUUUCUCCCCAGAAUCCCUAAUGAAGUGCCUUGUAAAGACAAAGGGAAUUAGUCUUGAGGUAGUGAUGAUCGGUGGUGUUUUUAUGGAGGCAAGAAGAAUUAUAAACAACUUGGAUUCUGUUGUAGAAGAGUUUGCAUGAUGAUUCUUAUCAGGAGGAUUAGAUCUGAUAGAAUUUCUCAACCUCAGAGGUUUGCUUUCAUCGGAUCUCAGGUUUUCCGGCGAAGCUCUGUAUCAUCGAAGCUGUCGGCGGCAUCUUCUCACCGUCAACCUACUCUUCAUCCAAAACUGACACGUGUGACACACGUGUUUUUACUUUAGCAAGCGUUAUCCCCUUUGUAAUGGGUUAUAUUUGAGUUUGAAAUUGUACCGGUUUUAGGCUUUGAAUCAUCAUGUAAUUUGCCUUUGAAUUUUAAUAUGAUGGACGAAAAAAAAAAAGUAUCUACAGUUGACUAAUAUGUGGAGCAGAUAUAAAUGAAUAAGAUACACAGUCCUUUUAUUUAUUUAGAUUCAUACAUAUCUUUUAUUCAUUAGUGGUUAAUUCUGUAUUGCAUUCAUUUUAGCACACACACACAAAAAAAAUAUUACAUCAG
RNAcentral lists this long non-coding RNA (1038 nucleotides) under Eutrema salsugineum. RNAcentral describes it as "long non-coding RNA (ESAL_LNC001264)". Lineage: Eukaryota; Viridiplantae; Streptophyta; Magnoliopsida; Brassicales; Brassicaceae. The record is from RNAcentral.